GCACAAGCAGCGGAGCAUGUGGUUUAAUUCGAAGCAACGCGAAGAACCUUACCAGGGCUUGACAUCCCCUGACCGCGUAUGAAAGUACGUUUUCACCCUCGGGUGACAGGGAGACAGGUGGUGCAUGGUUGUCGUCAGCUCGUGUCGUGAGAUGUUGGGUUAAGUCCCGCAACGAGCGCAACCCCUACGUUUAGUCGCUAACAGGUGAAGCUGAGCACUCUAGACGAACUGCCGUUGACAAAACGGAGGAAGGUGGGAUGACGUCAAAUCAUCAUGCCCCUUAUGUUCUGGGCUACACACGUGCUACAAUGGCCGGUACAGACGGAGGCGAAGCCGCGAGGCGGAGCAAAUCCGAAAAAGCCGGUCUCAGUUCGGAUUGCAGGCUGCAAUUCGCCUGCAUGAAGUCGGAAUCGCUAGUAAUCGCAGGUCAGCAUACUGCGGUGAAUACGUUCCCGGGCCUU
RNAcentral lists this ribosomal RNA (461 nucleotides) under uncultured Pelotomaculum sp. RNAcentral's name for it is "bacterial SSU rRNA". It matches the Rfam family "Bacterial small subunit ribosomal RNA", at positions 923 to 1382 of the family's 1533-position model. Lineage: Bacteria; Bacillati; Bacillota; Clostridia; Eubacteriales; Desulfotomaculaceae. The record is from RNAcentral.